Molecule: ribosomal RNA, 830 nt
Filed under: Tyrannochthonius sp. 3480
Lineage: Eukaryota; Metazoa; Arthropoda; Arachnida; Pseudoscorpiones; Chthoniidae
Description: partial large subunit ribosomal RNA
Rfam family: Eukaryotic large subunit ribosomal RNA
Source: RNAcentral
AUAUUAUUAAGUGGAGGAAAAGAAACCAAAAGGGAUUCCCCCAGUAGCGGCGAGCGAAAAGGGAUCAGCCCAAAGCCGAAUCCCGCGUCCCUUGGGCGCCGGGAAAUGUGGCGUAUGGGAGAAACCUAACAGCGCGUUGAAGGCGGCUCAAGUUUCCAUGAACGGAACUAUUGACCAAAGCGGGUGUGAGUCCCGUACAGUCGCUCUUCGCACGUUGUGUCGGAUUCUUCCCAGGAGUCGGGUUGCUUGAAAGUGCAGCCCAAAGUGGGUGGUAUGCUCCACCUAAGGCUAAAUAUUCCCGAGAGACCGAUAGCAAAAAAGUACCGUGAGGGAAAGUUGAAAAGAACUUUGAAGAGAGAGUUCAAUAGUACGUGAAACCGCUUAGAGGUAAACGGGUGGGCCCUCGAAGUCUGAAGGCAUGUUCGGUUCAGAAUCGACCUGGGUCUCCUUUUAUUUCCGCGCGCAGACAAACGAGUUGUCUCGCCGAUUUUUAGGAGGCGCUGGUUCGGUCCGCAUUCCUGUUCUGUCAGUAAGGGGCCGCGACUGGUUGGUCGACCGUCGGAAGGACUCGGAUAGAAGGUGCCCUACCGCGCUCCGGCGCGGUGGGUGUUAAACGUCUGAAGUAUAGCUGAUGGUCGAACCGACUUAGGACGAGAGAACCCUCGCACGGCGUUCCCUCCGAAUGGAGUGUUCUCGCGGGCGUCCGACGUCAAUCAUCUGAUUGUUUACGCUUGCGCGUGACAAUCUGCAUGUUGGCCCGGGCGUACGCGAGUCACAGGGAUAGCCAAGGGUCAGCGGUCAGUAGAUCGGGUCCCACCCGACCCGUCUUG